This 136-nucleotide small nucleolar RNA is filed under the name Drosophila ananassae. RNAcentral's name for it is "snoRNA:GF26178". Lineage: Eukaryota; Metazoa; Arthropoda; Insecta; Diptera; Drosophilidae. The record is from RNAcentral.
ACAGUCCCAGCUCCGCAUAGCAAUGCUCGAUGUGCUCUUGCGGCGUUUGCGACUGUUAGAAUAACAUAGCUCGUAUUAUAUCUUUGUCGGCUGGUCAUAUUCAAUGGGUAGUUGAUGAAAAUGUACGGGCCACAUC